UACGAAGGGAGCUAGCGUUGUUCGGAAUUACUGGGCGUAAAGGGCUCGUAGGCGGCCAACUAAGUCAUACGUGAAAUCCCUCGGCUUAACCGGGGAACUGCGUCUGAUACUGGAUGGCUUGAGAUUGGGAGAGGGAUGCGGAAUUCCAGGUGUAGCGGUGAAAUGCGUAGAUAUCUGGAGGAACACCGGUGGCGAAGGCGGCAUCCUGGACCAACACUGACGCUGAGGAGCGAAAGCCAGGGGAGCAAACGGG
RNAcentral lists this ribosomal RNA (253 nucleotides) under uncultured bacterium. Its description in RNAcentral is "partial 16S ribosomal RNA". It matches the Rfam family "Bacterial small subunit ribosomal RNA", at positions 524 to 776 of the family's 1533-position model. The record is from RNAcentral.